This 221-nucleotide ribosomal RNA is filed under the name Paenibacillus agilis. RNAcentral's name for it is "partial 16S ribosomal RNA". It matches the Rfam family "Bacterial small subunit ribosomal RNA", at positions 1 to 212 of the family's 1533-position model. The record is from RNAcentral. Lineage: Bacteria; Bacillati; Bacillota; Bacilli; Caryophanales; Paenibacillaceae.
CUUUUAUGGAGAGUUUGAUCCUGGCUCAGGACGAACGCUGGCGGCGUGCCUAAUACAUGCAAGUCGAGCGGACUUGAUGGAGUGCUUGCACUCCUGAAGGUUAGCGGCGGACGGGUGAGUAACACGUAGGCAACCUGCCUGUAAGACUGGGAUAACUACCGGAAACGGUAGCUAAUACCGGAUAGGCUUUUUCCUCGCCUGAGGGAGAAGAGAAAGACGGA